This 487-nucleotide ribosomal RNA is filed under the name uncultured bacterium. RNAcentral describes it as "bacterial SSU rRNA". It matches the Rfam family "Bacterial small subunit ribosomal RNA", at positions 28 to 508 of the family's 1533-position model. The record is from RNAcentral.
GAUGAACGCUGGCGGCAUGCCUAAUACAUGCAAGUCGAACGAGAGACCUUCGGGUCUCUAGUGGCGAACGGGUGAGUAACACGUAGGGAACCUGCCCGCGCACCGGGAAUACGCUCUGGAAACGGAGAACAAAUCCCGAUGUACAGGAAGGAGGCAUCUUCUUUCUGUGAAACAUCCUUUCGGGGAUGGGGCGCGGAUGGACCUGCGGUGCAUUAGUUUGUUGGCGGGGUAAAGGCCCACCAAGACGAUGAUGCAUAGCCGGCCUGAGAGGGCGGACGGCCACAUUGGGACUGAGACACGGCCCAGACUCCUGCGGGAGGCAGCAGUAGGGAAUUUUCGUCAAUGGGCGCAAGCCUGAACGAGCGAUGCCGCGUGAGUGAAGAAGGCCUUCGGGUCGUAAAGCUCUGUUGCGGGGGAAAAAAGGCAGCAUCAGGAAAUGGGUGCUGACUGAUGGUGCCCCGCCAGAAAGUCACGGCUAACUACGUGC